UCGANCGCAAACGCGAAGAACCUUACCCAANGGCUUGACAUACACCCGGAAAACGUUCCAGAGAUGGGCGCCCCCUUGUGGUCGGUGUAACAGGUGGUGCAUGGCUGUCGUCAGGCUCGUGUCGUGAGAUGUUGGGUUAAGUCCCGCAANCGAGCGCAACCCUUGUUCUGUGUUGCCAAGCAUGCCCUUUCGGGGUGAUGGGGACUCACAGGAGACCGCCGGGGUCAAACUCGGAGGAAAGGUGGGGACGACGUCAAGUCAUCAUGCCCCUUAUGUCUUGGGCUGCACACGUGCUACAAUGGCCGGUACAAUGAGCUGCGAUANCCGUGAGGUGGAGCGAAUCUCAAAAAGCCGGUCUCAGUUCGGANUUGGGGUCUGCAACUCGACCCCAUGAAGUCGGAGUCGCUAGUAAUCGCAGAUCAGCAUUGCUGCGGUGAAUACGUUNCCCGGGCCUUG
RNAcentral lists this ribosomal RNA (456 nucleotides) under Streptomyces sp. F47-3. Its description in RNAcentral is "bacterial SSU rRNA". It matches the Rfam family "Bacterial small subunit ribosomal RNA", at positions 951 to 1383 of the family's 1533-position model. The record is from RNAcentral. Lineage: Bacteria; Bacillati; Actinomycetota; Actinomycetes; Kitasatosporales; Streptomycetaceae.